UACGUAGGGCGCAAGCGUUGUCCGGAAUUAUUGGGCGUAAAGAGCUCGUAGGCGGUUUGUUGCGUCUGUCGUGAAAGCCCACAGCUUAACUGUGGGUCUGCGGUGGAUACGGGCAGACUAGAGGCAGGUAGGGGAGAAUGGAAUUCCCGGUGUAGCGGUGAAAUGCGCAGAUAUCGGGAGGAACACCGGUGGCGAAAGCGGCUCACUGGACCUGAUCUGACACUGAGGUGCGAAAGCUAGGGUAGCAAACGGG
This 253-nucleotide ribosomal RNA is filed under the name uncultured bacterium. RNAcentral's name for it is "partial 16S ribosomal RNA". It matches the Rfam family "Bacterial small subunit ribosomal RNA", at positions 524 to 776 of the family's 1533-position model. The record is from RNAcentral.